AGAAAUCCCUCGCUCGGAGCGCCUGGCGGUGGCCGCCCCGACCCAUUUUUACAAGGUUGGCCUCGGAUCAGGUGGGGAUACCCGCUGAACUUAAGCAUAUCAAUAAC
This 107-nucleotide ribosomal RNA is filed under the name Cladosporium nigrellum. Its description in RNAcentral is "partial 28S ribosomal RNA". The record is from RNAcentral. Lineage: Eukaryota; Fungi; Ascomycota; Dothideomycetes; Cladosporiales; Cladosporiaceae.